Molecule: long non-coding RNA, 880 nt
Filed under: Mus musculus (house mouse)
Lineage: Eukaryota; Metazoa; Chordata; Mammalia; Rodentia; Muridae
Description: long non-coding RNA chr7:46437824-46438704
Source: RNAcentral
GUCAGGGAACAAGGAUGGGGCUGUAGAGCGGAUUGCUUUUUGUACACAAGACCUAGAGGAAAGGUUCCAAAACGGCAGUCAGUCAUCGGUCACAUUGACCUCACCUUCAUUGCCCACCACUCACGUGGAAAACCAAGAACUCUGCUCUGAAUAGGAUUGUGGAAAUUCACACUGCCACCCUCUUCCACCUCUGUCUGGCAUGCUUGUGACCCAACGGGCCUCUCCCCAAGACCCGGACAGCGGCUAGUUUAGGUUGAUUCUCUCAUCUUGGUGUGUAGCUCCAAUGUGACCAAGUUUCAUAACAAAUUGUUCAUAGUUACACCAUAUGGAUUUUCCAGUGUCAUUCUAAAGCCAGGAUGUAGAGUCCCUGCAGUCCAGGGCCACCAGAGGGGUGGCCUCCCCUCCACCUUCAUCAAGGCGAGAACUGGCACUGUAUGCAAUUUAGUACUUCAGAGUAAAAAAAUAAAUAAAGAAAAUAAAAUAAAGAAAAAAAACUGCAUGCCCAAUGUUAUGCAAAGAGAUUCGAGCAUGAAAUAAAUUUUGUAACAUGGUUUCUGUCUAGUCGAAAGCAGAUUUGUUUUUCUGAAGCGAUUGGAGGUUUGCAGAGACCCGCUUCUGCAUCUCGAAUAAAUAUAGUAUUUUCCCAACAGAAACAGAGGACAGUAGCUUGGCUUUGGUCUGAUUCUAAAAUUAGUGUGUGUGUGUGUGUGUGUGUGUGUGUGUGUGUGUGUGUGUGUAAAGAUGAUAUUUUUGAAAAACACAUGCUUGAGUUGAAAAAAAUAGCAACAUCUCGAGCUCUCAGUGCGACAUUUCCUGGAAAGACAGCAACCUCCCCUUCCCAGGCCCUGGCCCUGGAAAUAAAGAGCUGACUUUUGAUCUG